CCUACGGGAGGCUGCAGUGGGGAAUAUUGGACAAUGGGCGAAAGCCUGAUCCAGCCAUGCCGCGUGUGUGAAGAAGGCCUUCGGGUUGUAAAGCACUUUCAGUGGGGAAGAAAGCCUUGGGGCUAAUACCCUCGAGGAAGGACAUCACCCACAGAAGAAGCACCGGCUAACUCCGUGCCAGCAGCCGCGGAUAAUACGGAGGGUGCGAGCGUUAAUCGGAAUUACUGGGCGUAAAGCGCGCGUAGGCGGUCUGAUAAGCCGGUUGUGAAAGCCCCGGGCUCAACCUGGGAACGGCAUCCGGAACUGUCAGGCUAGAGUGCAGGAGAGGAAGGUAGAAUUCCCGGUGUAGCGGUGAAAUGCGUAGAGAUCGGGAGGAAUACCAGUGGCGAAGGCGGCCUUCUGGACUGACACUGACGCUGAGGUGCGAAAGCGUGGGUAGCAAACAGGAUUAGAUACCCCUGUAGUC
This 466-nucleotide ribosomal RNA is filed under the name Vreelandella stevensii. RNAcentral's name for it is "partial 16S ribosomal RNA". It matches the Rfam family "Bacterial small subunit ribosomal RNA", at positions 338 to 795 of the family's 1533-position model. Lineage: Bacteria; Pseudomonadati; Pseudomonadota; Gammaproteobacteria; Oceanospirillales; Halomonadaceae. The record is from RNAcentral.